This 2386-nucleotide ribosomal RNA is filed under the name metagenome. RNAcentral describes it as "bacterial LSU rRNA". It matches the Rfam family "Bacterial large subunit ribosomal RNA", at positions 20 to 2308 of the family's 2925-position model. The record is from RNAcentral.
CCUGGUGGAUGCCUUGGCAUGGGAUGGCGAUGAAGGACGUGGGGUAUCUGCGAUAAGCCUCGGGGAGCUGUUACCAAGCUUUGAUCCGUGGAUUUCCGAAUGGGGCAACCCGGCGAGGUUCAUCCCUCGUCAUUUUCACCUGAAUGUAUAGGGUGGGAAAGCAAACCCAGGGAACUGAAACAUCUAAGUACCUGGAGGAAAGUAAAGCAACAGCGACUCCCUCAGUAGCGGCGAGCGAAGGGGGAACAGCCUAAACCGAAAGUACCUAACGGUCCGUAUGGCCUAUGUGCGAUCGGGGUUGUGGGAGGAUCCAGUCGGUGUACGGGCCGGCAGGGAGUUACAAAGCAUUUGGGUAGUUGAAGCGCUCUGGAAAGGCGCGCCGUAGAGGGUGAAAGUCCCGUAAGCGAAACCUGAAUGCCUCCCGGAUCUUUUCCCGAGUAGCGCCAGACACGUGGAACCUGGCGUGAAGCAGGGGGGCCCACCCCCCAAGGCUAAGUACAAGCCCAUGACCGAUAGUGCACAAGUAGCGUGAGUGAAAGGUGAAAAGAACCCCUGUUAGGGGAGUGAAAUAGAAUCUGAAACCAGGUAGCUACAAGCAGUGGGAGGGCGUCUAGUCAUCUUCGGAUGACCCGGCCUGACCGCGUGCCUUUUGUAUCAUGAUCCGGCGAGUUACGGUUAGCUGCUCGGUUAAGCCCUUCCGGGGCGGAGCCAGAGCGAAAGCGAGUGCGAAACGCGCGUUGCCUUCGGGCAGGUAGUUAGCCGUAGACGCGAAAACGGGUGAUCUAACCAUGGGCAGGGUGAAGCGUGGGUAAAGCUGCGUGGAGGCCCGAACACACUGGUGUUGAAAAAUCAGGUGAUGACCUGUGGUUAGGAGUGAAAGUCUAAUCAAACCCGUAGAUAUCUCGUUCUCCCCGAAAUGAUUUUAGGAUCAGCCUCGGGUGAAUUGUCCAGAUGGGGGUAGAGAUACUGAUUGGGUCUGGGGGGCUACCCGCCUACCCUUCCCAACCAAACUCCGAAUACUGUCUGGAUUUACCCCGGGAGUGAGACCGUGGGGGAUAAGCUUCACGGUCGAGAGGGAAACAGCCCAGAUCGUCGGCUAAGGUCCCCAAGUAUGUGCUAAGUGCUAAAGGAAGUGACUCUGCAGAGACAGCCAGGAUGUUGGCUUAGAAGCAGCCACCAUUUAAAAAGUGCGUAAUAGCUUACUGGUCGAGCAGGGUUGCGCCGAAAAUGAACGGGACUCAAGCACAUCACCGAAGCUGCGGAUUCUUAGGCCGUUGGUGCCUAGGAGUGGUAGGGGAGCGUUGCAUGCGGGUCGAAGCCUUACCGCAAGGAGGGGUGGACUGCAUGCAAGUGAUUAUGCCGGAACGAGUAGCGAGAAACUGAGUGAGAAGCUCAGUCGCCAUAAGCCUAAGGUUUCCUGGGGCAGGUAAUUCCGCCCAGGGUUAGGCGGGUCCUAAGGCGAGGCCGAAAGGCGUAGUCGAUGGGUAACCGGUUAAUAUUCCGGUGCUACGUUAGGUUGAGCGAUGGGGGGACAGGGUUCCAAAGAUCUACCCACCACUGGAUGUGUGGGGUUAAGCCUGAGGGAGGGUCAUAGGUAAAUCCGUGACCGUAAUCCCAGGGGUGAUGACGAGGCAAUUGCGCCGAAGUGAUUGGCGGGACCUUCAAGAAAAGCCUCUAAGUGUUUGAGNCCUAGCGUAUCCGUACUAAAACCGACACAGGUAGGCGAGGAGAGUAUCCUAAGGCGCUCGAGAGAACCUUCGNUAAGGAACUCGGCAAAAUGGCCCCGUAACUUCGGGAUAAGGGGUGCUCGGGANUGUGAAGGGGUUCGCCCCCGGAGCGNUUCUGAGUCACAGCAAAUCGGCUCGUCCAACUGUUUAUCAAAAACACAGCACUGUGCAAAGGCCUAAAGCCUACGUAUACAGUGCGACGCUUGCCCGCUGCCGGUAGGUUAAGGGGAAGGGUNAAGACCNUCGGGUCUGAAGCUCAUAACCGAAGCCCCGGUGAAGGGCGGCCGUAACUAUGACGGUCCUAAGGUAGCGAAAUUCCUUGUCGGGUAAGUUCCGACCUGCAUGAACAGCGCAAUGAGAUGAGCACUGUCUCAACGAAGGACUCGGCGAAACUGAAUUCGAGGUGAAGAUGCCUCGUACCCGCGGGUAGGCGGAAAGACCCUAUGAACCUUUACUGCAGCAUAUUAUUGGGUCUAGAUAUACCUUGUGUAGAAUAGGUGGGAGGCUUUGAUGGUGGGGCGCUAGCCUUGCCGGAGCCAUUAGUGAAAUACCACUCUUUGUAUAUUUGGACUCUAACCGGGCGCCGUAAUCCGGGUCUGGAACAGUUGUAUGUGGGCAGUUUGACUGGGGCGGUCUCCUCCUAAAGAGUAACGGAGGAG